GUGGGGAAUAUUGCACAAUGGGCGAAAGCCUGAUGCAGCAACGCCGCGUGAGCGAAGAAGGCCUUUGGGUCGUAAAGCUCUGUCCUUGGGGAAGAAACAAAUGACGGUACCCAAGGAGGAAGCCCCGGCUAACUACGUGCCAGCAGCCGCGGUAAUACGUAGGGGGCAAGCGUUAUCCGGAAUUAUUGGGCGUAAAGAGUACGUAGGCGGUUACUUAAGCGUGGGGUGAAAGGCUAUGGCUUAACCAUAGUAAGCCUUGCGAACUGGGUAACUUGAGUGCAGGAGAGGAAAGCGGAAUUCCUAGUGUAGCGGUGAAAUGCGUAGAUAUUAGGAGGAACACCAGUGGCGAAGGCGGCUUUCUGGACUGUAACUGACGCUGAGGUACGAAAGCGUGGGUAGCGAACAGGAUUAGAAACCCUAGUAGUCC
RNAcentral lists this ribosomal RNA (427 nucleotides) under uncultured bacterium. Its description in RNAcentral is "bacterial SSU rRNA". It matches the Rfam family "Bacterial small subunit ribosomal RNA", at positions 354 to 796 of the family's 1533-position model. The record is from RNAcentral.